CCUACGGGAGGCAGCAGUGAGGAAUAUUGGUCAAUGGACGAGAGUCUGAACCAGCCAAGUAGCGUGAAGGAUGACUGCCCUACGGGUUGUACACUGCUUUUAUACGGGAAUAACACAGGGUAUGCAUACACUCUUGUAUGUACCAUAUGAAUAAGGAUCGGCUAACUCCGUGCCAGCAGCCGCGGUAAUAAGGAGGAUCAGAUCGUUAUCCGGAUUUAUUGGGUUUAAAGGGAGCGUAGGUGGAUUGUUAAGGCCGUUGUGAAAGUGUGCGGCUCAACCGUAAGAUUGCAGUUGAAACUGGCAGUCUUGAGUACAGUAGAGGUGGGCGGAAUUCGUGGUGUAGCGGUGAAAUGCUUAGAUAUCACGAAGAACUCCGAUUGCGAAGGCAGCUCACUGGACUGGAACUGACACUGAUGCUCGAAAGUGUGGGUAUCAAACAGGAUUAGAUACCCUUGUAGUC
RNAcentral lists this ribosomal RNA (460 nucleotides) under uncultured bacterium. Its description in RNAcentral is "partial 16S ribosomal RNA". It matches the Rfam family "Bacterial small subunit ribosomal RNA", at positions 338 to 795 of the family's 1533-position model. The record is from RNAcentral.